UACGUAGGCAGCAAGCGUUGUUCGGAAUUACUGGGCGUAAAGCGUGCGCAGGCGGUCUGUUAAGACCGAUGUGAAAUCCCCGGGCUUAACCUGGGAACUGCAUUGGUGACUGGCAGGCUUUGAGUGUGGCAGAGGGAGGUAGAAUUCCACGGUGUAGCAGUGAAAUGCGUAGAGAUGUGGAGGAAUACCGAUGGCGAAGGCAGCCUCCUGGGCCAACACUGACGCUCGAUGCACGAAAGCGUGGGGAGCAAACAGG
RNAcentral lists this ribosomal RNA (256 nucleotides) under uncultured bacterium. RNAcentral's name for it is "partial 16S ribosomal RNA". It matches the Rfam family "Bacterial small subunit ribosomal RNA", at positions 524 to 776 of the family's 1533-position model. The record is from RNAcentral.